CAAGUCGAACGGUAGCAGCAGAAGCUUGCUUCUGGCUGACGAGUGGCGGACGGGUGAGUAACGCGUGGGAAUCUACCCUUUAGCGGGGGGACAACUCGAGGAAACUCGAGCUUAAUACCGCAUAAUCCCUUCGGGGCAAAGGCUUCGGCCACUAUUGGGAUGAGCCCCGCGUCCGAUUAGCUUGUUGGUAGGGUAGUGGCCUACCAAGGCGACGAUCGGUAGCUGGUCUGAGAGGACGAUCAGCCACACUGGGACUGAGACACGGCCCAGACUCC
Molecule: ribosomal RNA, 275 nt
Filed under: unidentified marine bacterioplankton
Lineage: Bacteria
Description: partial 16S ribosomal RNA
Rfam family: Bacterial small subunit ribosomal RNA
Source: RNAcentral